This 439-nucleotide ribosomal RNA is filed under the name uncultured bacterium. RNAcentral's name for it is "partial 16S ribosomal RNA". It matches the Rfam family "Bacterial small subunit ribosomal RNA", at positions 339 to 795 of the family's 1533-position model. The record is from RNAcentral.
CUACGGGCGGCAGUAGUGAGGAAUAUUGCACAAUGGGGGGAACCCUGAUGCAGCAACGCCGCGUGGAGGAUGACGCAUUUCGGUGUGUAAACUCCUUUUAUAUGUCAAGAAAAUGACGGUAGCAUAUGAAUAAGCACCGGCUAACUCCGUGCCAGCAGCCGCGGUAAUACGGAGGGUGCAAGCGUUACUCGGAAUCACUGGGCGUAAAGGACGCGUAGGCGGGUUGGAAAGUCAGGUGUGAAAUCCUACAGCUUAACUGUAGAACUGCACUUGAAACUUCUAAUCUAGGGUAUGGGAGGGGGAGAUGGAAUUAGUGGUGUAGGGGUAAAAUCCGUAGAUAUCACUAGGAAUACCUAAAGCGAAGGCGAUCUCCUGGAACAUUACUGACGCUAAGGCGUGAAAGCGUGGGGAGCAAACAGGAUUAGAUACCCUCGUAGUC